RNAcentral lists this long non-coding RNA (662 nucleotides) under Cricetulus griseus (Chinese hamster). RNAcentral describes it as "lncRNA (ENSCGRG00015034390.1)". The record is from RNAcentral. Lineage: Eukaryota; Metazoa; Chordata; Mammalia; Rodentia; Cricetidae.
CGCGCACCCAGCCCACCCAACCCCCCCAACUCGCUCCGCGCGCGCGAUUCCAGGGUCCUGCAGACCCGCCCCGGCUCCCCGCUCUUUCCCAGCCUCGGGUCCUGAGAGGGCGCCUACACCGAUCUCACGAUGCCUCCCUCCCGUGGAGUGAAGCGGCAGUCUGGAGAGAAUCUUUCACUGGCAAACCAGAAUGUCUCAUUGCUUCCCUCGGUCUUGCAUUCUCCUUUUCAUGCUAUCUCGAUGUCCAUUCCUCCCCUCCCCCGUUGCACCCCCAUGCGACUGCGGCACCCUCCCUCCAAAUGCAGAGACGGUCUUAAAGCUUGGUGAAGCCAACCACACUGCAAAGCCAAGGGAAGUGGGGUUCGACUUGGCAGACAUUAUUUUAAACAGCAGUUCACACUUGCAACACCGGCAGCCCAGCCCAUCAAAGGCAAGAAACAGGAAACUGUGGGACCUACAGCCUAUGCCCAGUACCACCUAAUGCAAUCUGAAACUUCCCGCCGUAUCAGAGACAUGGCACCGAUGAGAAAUAAAAAUCUUAAGUCAGCCUGAAGACCAGGAUGUCAACCUCUCAGCACUGCUCCAGCACCAUGCCUGUCUGCUUCUCACCAUGAUGAUCACGGAUGAUCCUUCUAAAAGUGUAAGCAGGCCCCCAAUUAAAU